Molecule: ribosomal RNA, 871 nt
Filed under: uncultured Planctomycetota bacterium
Lineage: Bacteria; Pseudomonadati; Planctomycetota
Description: bacterial SSU rRNA
Rfam family: Bacterial small subunit ribosomal RNA
Source: RNAcentral
UUAAUAGUUAGUGGCGUAAGGGUUAGUAGUGGAUAGGUAAUGUACCCUGGGCUUCGGGAUAGCGUCGGUUGCUUCGGCAACCUUCCGAAAGGGGCGGUAAUACCGGAUAAUAUCAUUUGUCGAUGGGCAAAUGUUCAAAGAUUUAUCGGCGCAGGAGCGGCCUAUCUCCUAUCAGCUUGUUGGUGAGGUAAAAGCUCACCAAGGCUAUGACGGGUAGCGGGACUGAGAGGUUGACCCGCAACAUCGGGACUGAGACACUGCCCGGACCUCCACGGAGGGCUGCAGUAACGAAUAUUGCGCAAUGGGCUAAAGCCUGACGCAGCGACGCCGCGUGUGGGAGGAAGUCUCUCGGGAUGUAAACCACUGUCAGGGGUAAGAAAGUCUGCUUCGGCAGAUUGAUCAGCCCCAGAGGAAGUCACGGCUAACUUCGUGCCAGCAGCCGCGGUAAGACGAAGGUGGCUAGCGUUGUUCGGUGUCACUGGGCUUAAAGAGUAUGUAGGCGGAAAAGUAAGCGUCUUGUGAAAUCCCUCGGCUUAACCGAGGAAUUGCUCGACGAACUACUUUUCUUGAGGCAAGUAGGGGUGCAUAGAACUCUUGGUGGAGCGGUGGGAAUGCGUAGAUAUCAAGAGGAAUGCCGAUGGAGAAAUCAGUGCACUGGGCUUGUUCUGACGCUGAGAUACGAAAGCGUGGGGAGCAAACGGGAUUAGAUACCCCGGUAGUCCACGCCGUAAACGAUGUCUACUAGGUUGUGGAGGUUCUGACACUUGCACGGCCGAAGCAAAAGUGUUAAGUAGACCGCCUGGGGAGUACGGCCGCAAGGCUAAAACUCAAAGGAAUUGACGGGGGCUCACACAAGCGGUGGAGCAUGUGU